GAACGCACCUUGCACCCUUUGGUAUUCCGAAGGGUAUGCCUGUUUGAGUGUCAUUAAAUUCUCAACCAUUGAACUUGUUUCUCUGGCUUGGAUGUGGGGGUUGCGGGCUUCGCAAGAGGUCGGCUCUCCUUAAAUGCAUUAGUGGAUACCGCUUGCAGGAUUCAUUCACUUUUUGGUGUGAUAGUAUCGUCGUCAAAGGUAGUGUUUCCGAGGUAUCUGCUCUCUAACUGUCCGCAAGGACUCUAUAAUGACUUGUUUGACCUCAAAUCAGGUAGGACUACCCGCUGAACUUAAG
RNAcentral lists this unclassified non-coding RNA (295 nucleotides) under uncultured Tricholomataceae. Its description in RNAcentral is "sequence contains 5.8S rRNA gene". The stretch from base 1 to 53 matches the Rfam family "5.8S ribosomal RNA", at positions 102 to 154 of the family's 154-position model. The record is from RNAcentral. Lineage: Eukaryota; Fungi; Basidiomycota; Agaricomycetes; Agaricales; Tricholomataceae.